GGCUUCUCAUGAGCUCCUCUCUGCCGAUCAGUGGCGUUGUAUGGAUUCGCACGAGAAGUAGAGACUAAUCACAAAUUGAACAGGCAUCCCCUAAUCUCAACAGGAUGUCUGCCUGGCUCUUUGUGAAACAAUU
This 133-nucleotide small nucleolar RNA is filed under the name Oncorhynchus tshawytscha (Chinook salmon). RNAcentral's name for it is "Small nucleolar RNA SNORA75". It matches the Rfam family "Small nucleolar RNA SNORA75". From Rfam's summary of the family: U23 belongs to the H/ACA class of snoRNAs. snoRNAs bind a number of proteins (including dyskerin, Gar1p and Nop10p in the case of the H/ACA class) to form snoRNP complexes. This class are thought to guide the sites of modification of uridines to pseudouridines by forming direct base pairing interactions with substrate RNAs. Lineage: Eukaryota; Metazoa; Chordata; Actinopteri; Salmoniformes; Salmonidae. The record is from Rfam by way of RNAcentral.